Molecule: ribosomal RNA, 289 nt
Filed under: uncultured bacterium
Lineage: Bacteria
Description: partial 16S ribosomal RNA
Rfam family: Bacterial small subunit ribosomal RNA
Source: RNAcentral
GAUGAACGCUAGCGGCAGGCCUAAUACAUGCAAGUCGAGGGGCAGCGGGAGUAGCAAUACUUGCCGGCGACCGGCGCACGGGUGCGUAACACGUAUACAAUCUACCUUUAACAGGGGGAUAGCCCGGAGAAAUCCGGAUUAAUACCCCAUAACAAAUUGAAUGGCAUCAUUUGAUUUUGAAAGCUUCGGUGGUUAGAGAUGAGUAUGCGCCUGAUUAGUUAGUUGGUGAGGAACGGCUCACCAAGACUACGAUCAGUAGGGGAUCUGAGAGGAUUAACCCCCACACGGA